This is a non-coding RNA of Dermacoccus sp. PE3, 47 nucleotides long. The record is from Rfam. NCBI's taxonomy places the organism in Bacteria, Bacillati, Actinomycetota, Actinomycetes, Micrococcales, Dermacoccaceae.
UUGGCUUCCGGUUCACGUCGCUCGCCCGAGCAGACGACCCGGCGGCA